AUAUCUAACUAGGGGUGCCUUUUAGGCUGAGAAAUGAUAAAUUCAUUAACCCUUCGAACCUGAUGUAGUUUAUACUACCGUAGGAAAGUUACUUUUGUGUUUA
Molecule: non-coding RNA, 103 nt
Filed under: Romboutsia hominis
Lineage: Bacteria; Bacillati; Bacillota; Clostridia; Peptostreptococcales; Peptostreptococcaceae
Description: TPP riboswitch aptamer (THI element)
Rfam family: TPP riboswitch aptamer (THI element)
About the family: Vitamin B(1) in its active form thiamin pyrophosphate (TPP) is an essential coenzyme that is synthesised by coupling of pyrimidine and thiazole moieties in bacteria. The previously detected thiamin-regulatory element, thi box was extended, resulting in a new, highly conserved RNA secondary structure, the THI element, which is widely distributed in eubacteria and also occurs in some archaea.
Source: Rfam by way of RNAcentral